ACGGAGGAUCCAAGCGUUAUCCGGAAUCAUUGGGUUUAAAGGGUCCGUAGGCGGCCUUAUAAGUCAGUGGUGAAAUCCAGUCGCUUAACGAUUGAACUGCCAUUGAUACUGUAAGGCUUGAAUUAAAGUGAAGUAACUAGAAUAUGUAAUGUAGCGGUGAAAUGCUUAGAUAUAACAUAGAACACCGAUCGCGAAGACAGGUUACGAAUUUGUUAUAGACGCUCAUGCACGAAAGCGUGGGGAUCAAACAG
RNAcentral lists this ribosomal RNA (251 nucleotides) under uncultured prokaryote. RNAcentral describes it as "partial 16S rRNA". It matches the Rfam family "Bacterial small subunit ribosomal RNA", at positions 525 to 775 of the family's 1533-position model. The record is from RNAcentral.